Molecule: ribosomal RNA, 194 nt
Filed under: Escherichia coli
Lineage: Bacteria; Pseudomonadati; Pseudomonadota; Gammaproteobacteria; Enterobacterales; Enterobacteriaceae
Description: partial 16S ribosomal RNA
Rfam family: Bacterial small subunit ribosomal RNA
Source: RNAcentral
AAAUUGAAGAGUUUGAUCAUGGCUCAGAUUGAACGCUGGCGGCAGGCCUAACACAUGCAAGUCGAACGGUAACAGGAAGCAGCUUGCUGCUUUGCUGACGAGUGGCGGACGGGUGAGUAAUGUCUGGGAAACUGCCUGGUGGAGGGGGAUAACUACUGGAAACGGUAGCUAAUACCGCAUAACGUCGCAAGACC